Molecule: long non-coding RNA, 230 nt
Filed under: Hordeum vulgare
Lineage: Eukaryota; Viridiplantae; Streptophyta; Magnoliopsida; Poales; Poaceae
Description: long non-coding RNA (HVUL_LNC000501)
Source: RNAcentral
UUUUUUUGUUUUUUGGAAUGACCUUAUUCAUUCAGGGCAUUUUGGCACACAUUAAGGUUAUGUUUAGUUGUGUGUUGGAUUGACUGAACUUUAUUAUGCUGGUAACUAAAUUGGAACGCGGUACUUCAAAUUGUUUAUGUUUGUUUUGAAUUGUGAUGAAUUUGUUUCAGUUGUUUGGGCAAACCUUUGCUUGGUCAGGCAAAAUAUUUUUUUGUGGGGAUUAAGUGAUG